RNAcentral lists this ribosomal RNA (461 nucleotides) under uncultured bacterium. RNAcentral describes it as "partial 16S ribosomal RNA". It matches the Rfam family "Bacterial small subunit ribosomal RNA", at positions 28 to 523 of the family's 1533-position model. The record is from RNAcentral.
GAUGAACGCUGGCGGCGUGCCUAAUACAUGCAAGUCGAGCGGCAGCACGGUCUUCGGACUGGUGGCGAGCGGCGGACGGCUGAGUAACGCGUAGGAACAUGCCCUAAAGUGAGGAAUAACUGCCCGAAAGGGUGGCUAAUGCCGCAUGUGCUCUUCGGAGUAAAGCUUUAUGCGCUUUAGGAGUGGCCUGCGUCCGAUUAGCUAGUUGGUGAGGUAAAUGCUCACCAAGGCGACGAUCGGUAGCUGGUCUGAGAGGAUGAUCAGCCAGACUGGAACUGAGAACGGUCCAGACUCCUACGGGAGGCAGCAGUAGGGAAUUUUUCACAAUGGGCGAGAGCCUGAUGGAGCAACGCCGCGUGCAGGAUGAAUGCCUUCGGGUUGUAAACUGCUUUUAUGUGCGAAGAAUUUGACUGUAACACAUGAAUAAGGAUCGGCUAACUACGUGCCAGCAGCCGCCGCGG